AAUAUUGGACAAUGGGCGCAAGCCUGAUCCAGCAACGCCGCGUGGAGGACGAAGGUCUUCGGAUCGUAAACUCCUGUCAGGCGGGACGAAGGCUGCAGGGCAAAUAGUCCUGUAGCUUGACGGUACUGCCAGAGGAAGCCCCGGCUAACUCCGUGCCAGCAGCCGCGGUAAUACGUAGGUGGCGAGCGUUGUCCGGAUUUACUGGGCGUAAAGAGCGCGCAGGCGGCUGGGUAAGUCCGAUGUGAAAGCUUCCGGCUUAACUGGAAAACGGCAUCGGAAACUGCUCGGCUUGAAGGUGGGAGAGGGUAGCGGAAUUCCCGGUGUAGUGGUGAAAUGCGUAGAUAUCGGGAGGAACACCAGUGGCGAAGGCGGCUACCUGGCCCAUUCUUGACGCUGAGGCGCGAAAGCUAGGGGAGCGAA
RNAcentral lists this ribosomal RNA (420 nucleotides) under uncultured bacterium. RNAcentral describes it as "bacterial SSU rRNA". It matches the Rfam family "Bacterial small subunit ribosomal RNA", at positions 360 to 772 of the family's 1533-position model. The record is from RNAcentral.